AAUCAACGCUGGCGGCGUGCCUCAGACAUGCAAGUCGAACGAGAAAGUCCCCUUCGGGGGGUGAGUAAAGUGGCGCACGGGUGAGUAACACGUAGGUAAUCUACCUUCGGGUGGGGAAUAACCCAGGGAAACUUGGGCUAACACCGCAUAAUGCAGCGGCACCACAUGGUGACAGUUGUUAAAGCGGGGGAUUUUAGGACCUCGCGCCUGAAGAGGAGCCUGCGGCGGAUUAGCUAGUUGGUAGGGUAACGGCUUACCAAGGCGACGAUCCGUAACCGGCCUGAGAGGGCGGUCGGUCACACUGACACUGACAUACGGGUCAGACUCCUACGGGAGGCAGCAGUCGGGAAUUUUGGGCAAUGGGCGAAAGCCUGACCCAGCAACGCCGCGUGAAGGAUGAAAUCCCUCGGGAUGUAAACUUCGCAAGAAUAGGAAGAAUUAGUAGGGCUAAUACCCUCUAUGAUGACGUACUAUUU
RNAcentral lists this ribosomal RNA (476 nucleotides) under uncultured bacterium. RNAcentral's name for it is "bacterial SSU rRNA". It matches the Rfam family "Bacterial small subunit ribosomal RNA", at positions 32 to 483 of the family's 1533-position model. The record is from RNAcentral.